Thiolapillus brandeum is the source of this 73-nucleotide transfer RNA. It matches the Rfam family "tRNA". From Rfam's summary of the family: Transfer RNA (tRNA) molecules are approximately 80 nucleotides in length. Their secondary structure includes four short double-helical elements and three loops (D, anti-codon, and T loops). Lineage: Bacteria; Pseudomonadati; Pseudomonadota; Gammaproteobacteria; Chromatiales; Sedimenticolaceae. The record is from Rfam.
GCCCAGAUAGCUCAGUUGGUAGAGCACACCCUUGGUAAGGGUGAGGUCGGCAGUUCAAAUCUGCUUCUGGGCU